UUUCUCCAGUUCUCUCAAAGUAAGAAGAUUCUGCAAUGAAAAGACAUGGAGUGGAGGACAGGACAUGAAACACAUAUAUGGCCUUUUCCGGGACUUCCCUCCCAUUACAGAAACACAGGGCUUCGAGUCUCCAGGUGUUAAAGAGUGCUCUUCUCUCUGAACAUGAUGCCCCUACCUCAGGACCUGUCCGCACAGAGGUGCAACGGGCUUUUCUCCUGACCGUGAAAGAAGCAGACUUUGCCUCCAUUUGCACAUUCAUUUCAAUAUUCCUCAUCUAGACGUGUGCCAGCCCUUUGGAUUCUUCCGGUUUUAACAUCUGCCCAGUUCCCUCACUGACUCAUGAGCUACAUGAAAUUUGGAGCACAUGGCUAUUUUCUAUCUGUAUGGGAGUCAUAAUAUUAUCCUUAUUUGAAAAUGAUCAUUAGCGAAAGUGAGUUUUGACCAGAGCCCAUGCUCUUUGCUCUCAUCAUGUUCAUCAGCCAACCAUCACCGAACACCUACUUAGUUCCAGGCCCCCGUGUUGGGUGCUGGGGGCCAACGAUGAGUAAAACAUGGUUCCUACCAUCCAGCGACUCCAGGUCACAAUACUGAGACAGGCGGAACACACAUAGAAGCUGUGGGAGCAAAGUGAGGAGUCCCUAGCCCCCACUUGAAACAUGGAGAAAGUUUCCUGAGAAUCCAGUAAUAAUUAAGAUAAUAAGAUAAUCGCAUUACAACAAAUACUAAACUUCAAUCCAAAAACAUUGGACAAAAUAUAAUUUUAUGGUGACUGGUACUUAAGUGAAGUGAGGUAAACCUUGGCAACAUCUGGUUUCUUAUGAGAUAUGUUAGUAAUGACACUUGGCCUAUGCUACAUUUUAAAUAACAAUGUACCCUUUUCCAAAGAAUAUAGAUCAAUGCUUCCAAAUCCCGUGUACAUAACUGAUUAGUCGGCCUUGUUCAAAAAUAAUCAUCAAACAGCCAUCCCUAUGGGGAAAAAAAAAAGUACAUAGCUACACAACAACGGGACCAGGCCAAAGGAAAUUCAAGUAUGUGUGGAUUUGAAAUUAAAACUAAGACACACAUAUAUCUAACUGAGCUCAGGACUGGUUAUCCCCAUGCAAGCUCAUCUCUUCACCAGGUCAACUGAGUUUAUUCAUCUUUGUAUUCCAAGUGCCAUGCCCAAUUCAUUUAUUCAUUUACUCAUCCAUUAUCUGCUGACCCCUCAUUCAUUCUAAAAUCUGAAUGCCCAUUUGGGUCGAUAGAUGCUUGAGGGGGUAUGUAAUGAAAGAGGACUCAAUUCUUGUCUUCAAAAGUCUCACAGCCUUGUGGAUAGGGAUGGGGGGCAAGGUCUACAUGUAAAUACCCAUAAGGCAAAGUAGUUGUGUUCUACUCUAGGUUAUAUUUAGAGGGAGGGAAGAGCAGAGUAGACAGUGAUAACUUGGGUGUGAGUAGGCAGAGAGGUUUCUACCAAAGUGAAAAUGCAAGGUGAGGCUGGGCCAGACAAAUCUGACAU
This is a long non-coding RNA of Lynx canadensis (Canada lynx), 1495 nucleotides long. RefSeq lists it as uncharacterized. Lineage: Eukaryota; Metazoa; Chordata; Mammalia; Carnivora; Felidae. The record is from RefSeq and is a predicted model, not a curated record. The transcript is spliced from 3 exons.